This 220-nucleotide ribosomal RNA is filed under the name uncultured Gardnerella sp. Its description in RNAcentral is "partial 16S ribosomal RNA". It matches the Rfam family "Bacterial small subunit ribosomal RNA", at positions 134 to 355 of the family's 1533-position model. Lineage: Bacteria; Bacillati; Actinomycetota; Actinomycetes; Bifidobacteriales; Bifidobacteriaceae. The record is from RNAcentral.
UGCUCCAGAAUAGCUCUUGGAAACGGGUGGUAAUGCUGGAUGCUCCAACUUGACGCAUGUCUUGUUGGGAAAGUGUUUAGUGGCAUGGGAUGGGGUCGCGUCCUAUCAGCUUGUAGGCGGGGUAAUGGCCCACCUAGGCUUCGACGGGUAGCCGGCCUGAGAGGGCGGACGGCCACAUUGGGACUGAGAUACGGCCCAGACUCCUACGGGAGGCAGCAGU